UUAAGUUCAGCGGGUAGUCCUACCUGAUUUGAGAUCAGAUCGUAAAGUGUGUUGUCCCGAAAGACGGUUGGAAGCGGCUCAUCAGCGGUCCUGGCCACCUUUUUUUACGGGUGUCCUCAGCGAGUGAUACUUAUCACGCCGAGUGGAACCAAGUCUACCGAGAUCCAGCUAAUGAUUUUAAGAGGAGCAGACGUGAAUCU
RNAcentral lists this unclassified non-coding RNA (200 nucleotides) under Ceratobasidiaceae sp. Its description in RNAcentral is "partial internal transcribed spacer 2". Lineage: Eukaryota; Fungi; Basidiomycota; Agaricomycetes; Cantharellales; Ceratobasidiaceae. The record is from RNAcentral.